AAUCAACGCUGGCGGCAUGCCUAACACAUGCAAGUCGAACGCGAAAGUUCCUUCGGGAAUGAGUAGAGUGGCGUCCGGGUGAGUAACGCGUGGGUAAUCUGCCUUUGGGUGGGGAAUAACCCAGGGAAACUUGGGCUAAUACCGCAUAAUGCAGCGGCUCGACAUCGAGACAGUUGUUAAAGCCUCUCGCAAGAGGGGCGCCUAAGGAGGAGCCUGCGUCUGAUUAGCAGUUGGUGGGGUAAUGGCCUACCAAGGCUACGAUCAGUAGCU
This 270-nucleotide ribosomal RNA is filed under the name uncultured bacterium. RNAcentral's name for it is "partial 16S ribosomal RNA". It matches the Rfam family "Bacterial small subunit ribosomal RNA", at positions 32 to 288 of the family's 1533-position model. The record is from RNAcentral.